AUCUGGCACCAGGGGUGCUUGCCCUGAAAAGAGUCUUUCUUCUGAAAGGGUAGGCUGAGAUGAGACCCUCACGACCUGAUCAGGAUAAUUCCUGCGAAGGGAGUGUGCCGACGCUGUAUU
Molecule: regulatory RNA element, 120 nt
Organism: Selaginella moellendorffii
Lineage: Eukaryota; Viridiplantae; Streptophyta; Lycopodiopsida; Selaginellales; Selaginellaceae
Rfam family: TPP riboswitch aptamer (THI element)
About the family: Vitamin B(1) in its active form thiamin pyrophosphate (TPP) is an essential coenzyme that is synthesised by coupling of pyrimidine and thiazole moieties in bacteria. The previously detected thiamin-regulatory element, thi box was extended, resulting in a new, highly conserved RNA secondary structure, the THI element, which is widely distributed in eubacteria and also occurs in some archaea.
Source: Rfam